Molecule: ribosomal RNA, 254 nt
Filed under: uncultured bacterium
Lineage: Bacteria
Description: partial 16S ribosomal RNA
Rfam family: Bacterial small subunit ribosomal RNA
Source: RNAcentral
UACGUAGGGGGGCAAGCGUUGUCCGGAAUCAUUGGGCGUAAAGAGCGUGUAGGCGGCCCGGUAAGUCCGCUGUGAAAGUCCAGGGCUCAACCCUGGGAUGCCGGUGGAUACUGUCGGGCUCGAGUACGGAAGAGGCGAGUGGAAUUCCCGGUGUAGCGGUGAAAUGCGCAGAUAUCGGGAGGAACACCAAUGGCGAAGGCAGCUCGCUGGGACGUUACUGACGCUGAGACGCGAAAGCGUGGGGAGCAAACAGG